Molecule: ribosomal RNA, 493 nt
Filed under: uncultured bacterium
Lineage: Bacteria
Description: bacterial SSU rRNA
Rfam family: Bacterial small subunit ribosomal RNA
Source: RNAcentral
CGAACGCUGGCGGCGUGCCUAACACAUGCAAGUCGAACGAGAAAGUCCGGCUUCGGUUGGACAAGUAAAGUGGCGAACGGGUGAGUAACACGUGGAUAAUCUGCCCUUAAAUCUGGGAUAAUCCUCCGAAAGGAGGUCUAAUACCGGAUGAUACCCUUUAAUGGCAUCGUUUUAGGGUCAAAGGCGGGGUAACCUGCCGUUUAAGGAUGAGUCCGCGUCCCAUUAGCUUGUUGGUGAGGUAACGGCCCACCAAGGCUGCGAUGGGUAGCCGGCCUGAGAGGGCGAUCGGCCACACUGGGACUGAGAUACGGCCCAGACUCCUACGGGAGGCAGCAGUAGGGAAUAUUGCGCAAUGGACGAAAGUCUGACGCAGCAACGCCGCGUGGGUGAUGAAGCUUCUUGGAGUGUAAAGCCCUGUCAGUGGGGAAGAAACGUAUGGGGAGUAACUGCCCUGUACCUGACGGUACCCGCAGAGGAAGUCCCGGCUAACUCC